CCGAAUUGUCAACACGAGUUGUUGCUGGCCCUCAAGUGGGGGCAUGUGCACGCUCUGUUUGCACAUCCACUCACACCUGUGCACCCUCCGUAGUUCUGUGGCCUGGGGUGCUCUGCCCUCCUGCUGUGGUUCUAUGUCUUUACACAAACACACACGCUGUAAUAAAGUCUUAUCGAAUGGUACAAAGCGUUUGACGCAAUACAAUAAUA
Molecule: unclassified non-coding RNA, 209 nt
Filed under: uncultured fungus
Lineage: Eukaryota; Fungi
Description: sequence contains ITS1, 5.8S rRNA gene
Source: RNAcentral